Molecule: ribosomal RNA, 2970 nt
Filed under: Chloroflexota bacterium
Lineage: Bacteria; Bacillati; Chloroflexota
Description: Chloroflexi bacterium (groundwater metagenome) 23S ribosomal RNA
Rfam family: Bacterial large subunit ribosomal RNA
Source: RNAcentral
GGUCGAGCUAUGAAAGGGCCCAUGGUGGAUGCCUUGGCGCCAAAGGCCUAAGAAGGGCGCGGCACGACUGCGAAAAGCCCCGGUGAGCCGUCCAGCGGGCAUAGCCGGGGAUUCCCGAAUGGGGAAACCCACUCCAGGCGUUGAGCCAGGAGUACUCCUGGGGUCCAACCCAGGUAGAGGGUACCGGGGGAACUGAAACAUCUUAGUACCCCGUGGAAGAGAAAUCAAAAGAGAUUCCCUUAGUAGCGGCGAGCGAACGGGGAAGAGCCUAAACUCCGAGGACUGAGUGGGCCGGAGCCCUAUGCCCUCGGGGGGUUGUAGGGCCUGCCAGGAGCGGCCCCGGCUGCUCCAGGGAGUCAGAAAUCCCUCCUUUAGCCAAAGGUCCUGGAAAGGACCACCAUAGAGGGUGAAAGUCCCGUAGGCGAAAGGGGAGGGACUCCCGGCAGGUACCUGAGUACCGCGGGACACGAGAAACCCCGCGGGAAGCUGGGGGGACCAUCCUCCAAGGCUAAAUACCUUUGGCGACCGAUAGUGAACCAGUACCGUGAGGGAAAGGUGAAAAGCACCCCGAGAGGGGAGUGAAAUAGAUCUGAAACCGUGGGCCUACAAACAGUCAGAGUUCCGAUUCGUCGGAAUGAUGGCGUGCCUAUUGAAGAAUGAUCCGGCGAGUUCUUGGGCGGGGCUAGGUUAAGGGAAUGGAUUCCCGGAGCCGCAGCGAAAGCGAGUCUAAAUAGGGCGCAGCGUCCAGGGGCAACCCUGGCCGCAGGUCCCGUUCAAAAGACCCGAAACCGGGCGAGCUACCCAUGGCCAGGGUGAAGCCCCGCUAACCCGGGGUGGAGGCCCGAACCUGUUUCUUGUGCAAAAGGAUGGGAUGAGCUGUGGGUAGUUGGUGAUAUGCCAAUCGAGCCCGGAUAUAGCUGGUUCUCCCCGAAAUGCAUUGAGGUGCAGCCUCAGGAAAUAGCUUGGGAAGGUAGGGCUCUGGAUGGGCUAGGGGGCGUGAGCUUACCAAACCCAACCAAACCACCAAUGUCCCAAGGUGGACCCUGGGAGUGAGACGGUGAAGGAUAAGCUCCAUCGUCGAGAGGGAAACAGCCCAGACCGCCAGCUAAGGCCCCUAAGUGCAGGCUAAGUGUAAAAGGCAGUCAUGUUCCCCAGACAGCCAGGAGGUUGGCUCAGAAGCAGCCAUCCUUCAAAGAGUGCGUAACAGCUCACUGGUCGAGGGGUGUGGCGCCGAAAAUUUAGCGGGGCUAAGCCUGCCGCCGAAGCUGCGGGUCCUUCCCUCUGGGAAGGACGGUAGGGGAGCGUCCCCUGGCUGGUGAAGGUGAGGCGUAAGCCUUGCUGGAAGCCAGGGAAGUGAGAAUGCCGGAAUGAGUAGCGCUAACCGGGGUGAGAAUCCCCGGCGCCGAAAGCCCAAGGUUUCCUACGCAACGUUGAUCGGCGUAGGGUUAGUCGGAACCUAAGGCAAAGCUGAAAAGCCUAGUCGAUGGAUGGCAGGUCAAUAUCCCUGCACCAUCUCUGUCCCGUUACGAGCCAAGGGGGGACGCGGAAGGGUAAGCGGUGCAUACCCAAUGGACAUGGUGUGUUUCCGCCUGAAGGCCAGCCAGGGCAGGCAAAUCCACUCUGGCGCUAUGAGCUGAGGGGCGGGAGAACCCUGAGGUACGCCUCGGGGAACUCCGCCGAACCCAUGCCGCCAAGAAAAACCUCGUGGCCAGGAGCAGGGGUGUCCGUACUGCAAACCGACACAGGUGGGCUGGGGUAAAAGUCCCAAGGCGAACGAGAGAACCCUCGCUAAGGAACUAGGCAAAAGGGCUCCGUAACUUCGGAAGAAGGGGCGCCUCCUGGGGUGAAGGGCUUGCGCCUGGAGCUCCGGGAGGCCGCAGCGAAGCAGCUCGGGCGACUGUUUAACAAAAACACAGGUCUCUGCCAAGGGGUAACCCGAGGUAUAGGGGCCGACGCCUGCCCAGUGCCGGAAGGUUAAGAGGAGGAGUCAGGGGGCAACCCCGAAGCCCUGAAUCGAAGCCCCGGUGAACGGCGGCCGUAACUAUAACGGUCCUAAGGUAGCGAAGUCCCUUGUCGGGCAAGUUCCGACCCGCACGAAUGGCGUAACGACUUGAGCGCUGUCUCAGCGAGGGGCUCGGCGAAAUUGCAGGGCCUGUGAAGAUGCGGGCAACCCGCAGCGGGACAAAAAGACCCCGUGAAGCUUUACUGUAGCUUGGCAUUGGACUGGGGUCAGGGAUGCGUAGUAUAGGUGGGAGGCUGGGAAGUCUGCCUCGCGGGGCGGAUGGAGCCGCCGUUGAAAUACCACUCUUCGCUGACUCUGGUCCUAACCCCGCAAGGAACGGGGGACCAUGCCAGGUGGGCAGUUUGACUGGGGCGGUCGCCUCCUAAAAGGUAACGGAGGCGUCCAAAGGUCCCCUCAGGGUGGAUGGAAAUCACCCGUCGAGUGCAUUGGCAUAAGGGGGCUUGACUGUGAGGCCGACAAGCCGAGCAGGUGGGAAACCAGGGCAAAGUGAUCCCACGGUACCGCAUGGAAGGGCCGUGGCUUAUCGGAUAAAAGCUACUCCGGGGAUAACAGGCUGAUCUUGCCCAAGAGUUCACAUCGACGGCAAGGUUUGGCACCUCGAUGUCGGGGGUACGUGAGUUGGGUUCAGAACGUCGUGAGACAGUUCGGUCUCUAUCUGCUGCGGGCGUAGGAGGCUUGAGGGGGUAUCUUCCUAGUACGAGAGGACCGGAAGGGACGUACCUCUGGUGUGCCGGUUGUCCUGCCAAGGGCAUCGCCGGGUAGCCAAGUACGGUAGGGAUAAGCCCUGAAAGCAUCUAAGGGCGAAGCUCACCCCAAGAUUAGGCCUCCCAUCCUUCCCGCAAGGGAAGGAGUAAGGUCCCAGGAAGACUACCUGGUAUAUAGGCCGCAGGUGGAAGUCCCGUAAGGGAUUAAGCUGAGCGGUACUAAUAGACCGAGGGCUUGACCUG